UCUGCCCCUAGAAGCAAUGCAAGGAUGACUGCUGCAUCUCAUGUGUGUCUGUAGGUGGCAGGAAGAGUGAAACUAUGUCUAUGCUCAAUGUUCUGAAUUACGAACAUGUGAAUGAUUAGUAGUCUACUGG
Molecule: small nucleolar RNA, 130 nt
Filed under: Mus caroli (Ryukyu mouse)
Lineage: Eukaryota; Metazoa; Chordata; Mammalia; Rodentia; Muridae
Description: predicted gene, 24228 (MGP_CAROLIEiJ_G0036174.1)
Rfam family: Small nucleolar RNA SNORA17
About the family: snoRNA ACA 17 belongs to the H/ACA family of snoRNAs and is predicted to guide pseudouridylation of the 28S rRNA at positions U4659 and U4598. It shares the same host gene together with ACA43. NB This family has a high threshold value to exclude a large number of closely related sequences that do not appear to have conserved H and ACA boxes, and may be pseudogenes.
Source: RNAcentral